This 667-nucleotide ribosomal RNA is filed under the name Salmonella enterica. Its description in RNAcentral is "bacterial SSU rRNA". It matches the Rfam family "Bacterial small subunit ribosomal RNA", at positions 1 to 657 of the family's 1533-position model. Lineage: Bacteria; Pseudomonadati; Pseudomonadota; Gammaproteobacteria; Enterobacterales; Enterobacteriaceae. The record is from RNAcentral.
AAAUUGAAGAGUUUGAUCAUGGCUCAGAUUGAACGCUGGCGGCAGGCCUAACACAUGCAAGUCGAACGGUAACAGGAAGCAGCUUGCUGCUUCGCUGACGAGUGGCGGACGGGUGAGUAAUGUCUGGGAAACUGCCUGAUGGAGGGGGAUAACUACUGGAAACGGUGGCUAAUACCGCAUAACGUCGCAAGACCAAAGAGGGGGACCUUCGGGCCUCUUGCCAUCAGAUGUGCCCAGAUGGGAUUAGCUUGUUGGUGAGGUAACGGCUCACCAAGGCGACGAUCCCUAGCUGGUCUGAGAGGAUGACCAGCCACACUGGAACUGAGACACGGUCCAGACUCCUACGGGAGGCAGCAGUGGGGAAUAUUGCACAAUGGGCGCAAGCCUGAUGCAGCCAUGCCGCGUGUAUGAAGAAGGCCUUCGGGUUGUAAAGUACUUUCAGCGGGGAGGAAGGUGUUGCGGUUAAUAACCGCAGCAAUUGACGUUACCCGCAGAAGAAGCACCGGCUAACUCCGUGCCAGCAGCCGCGGUAAUACGGAGGGUGCAAGCGUUAAUCGGAAUUACUGGGCGUAAAGCGCACGCAGGCGGUCUGUCAAGUCGGAUGUGAAAUCCCCGGGCUCAACCUGGGAACUGCAUUCGAAACUGGCAGGCUUGAGUCUUGUAGAGG